UGGGGAAUUUUGGCAAUGGGCGAAAGCCUGAUCCAGCAAUGCCGCGUGUGUGAAGAAGGCCUUCGGGUUGUAAAGCACUUUUGUCCGGAAAGAAAUCCUUGGCUCUAAUACAGUCGGGGGAUGACGGUACCGGGAAGAAUAAGCACCGGCUAACUACGUGCCAGCAGCCGCGGUAAUACGUAGGGUGCAAGCGUUAAUCGGAAUUACUGGGCGUAAAGCGUGCGCAGGCGGUUUGCUAAGACCGAUGUGAAAUCCCCGGGCUCAACCUGGGAACUGCAUUGGUGACUGGCAGGCUAGAGUAUGGCAGAGGGGGGUAGAAUUCCACGUGUAGCAGUGAAAUGCGUAGAGAUGUGGAGGAAUACCGAUGGCGAAGGCAGCCCCCUGGGCCAAUACUGACGCUCAUGCACGAAAGCGUGGGGAGCAAAACAGGAUUAGAUACCCUGGUAGUCCACGCCCUAAACGAUGUCAACUAGUUGUUGGGGAUUCAUUUCCUUAGUAACGUAGCUAACGCGUGAAGUUGACCGCCUGGGGAGUACGGUCGCAAGAUUAAAACUUAAAUGAAUUGACGGGGUCAUAGCUGUUUCCU
RNAcentral lists this ribosomal RNA (586 nucleotides) under uncultured bacterium. Its description in RNAcentral is "partial 16S ribosomal RNA". It matches the Rfam family "Bacterial small subunit ribosomal RNA", at positions 355 to 1375 of the family's 1533-position model. The record is from RNAcentral.